UUUAACGAUUCGAAGCGUAAUAUUGGUAUUUAUAAUAAAUGUACAUUUUAAAAGCGGUUAAUCUUAAUCGAAAAUCUUAUGUAUGUUUUAUCAUGUGCGUGCAUAUCAUACUCGCCAUUGUUAGGCGUGGAAGCAAAACAGAAGACAUGAGUAACUAUGCAAAAAUCAUUGUAUAUUUAUUGGCGUUUUAUGUCGAAAAAAAUUUUACACACAAUGAGAGGUGUUAGUGCGUUACAUAGUAUAAAGCGGAAACCGGAUGAAAUAUUAAUUUUAUAUCAAACAAUACAAUUUAUUAUUAUAACAUUUCUUAAAUUUUAAAAACGUAUAUUUUCACCGAUGCAAUUAAGGUCAUAGGAUCAAAAUGAUAAAAAAAUUUUUAUGGCCGUUGGUUCCGUCGUAUUGCAUACAAAUUAAACACAACAUACUUUAUUACUGUUUAUCCCGAGAACGCGACUUGCUUACUACUGUGUUCAAAUUAUAGCACUUCUGUGAACACAGACUACAGAUUCCUAACCAUUCUGGAAAUAGAAGCCUUUUCAUUUGAGAAGAUUAGGUGGCAGACGAGCUUCGAUGAUUAAAGAUGAACAAUAUUUACAGGAUAUUUCAAAAGUUUUUAUUUUUCUGAAUAUUUAUUUUAUUUUUUAAGUAUAAACGCAUGUUAACAUACACCUGAGGUUAAUGAAGACUUGAUAGCAGAGGUUGAGUGUGAAAGUUGUGGUAUCUAUAGAAAUAAUAAGACUACAGGUCGUCAGGUCGUACAAAGAUCGUAAAAACGAUACUAUACAACAUUAUUAUACUUACAUACAUGGUCAGUUUAUUAAUGUUUACUUAGCUGCACAACCCGUAUCAGUAUUAAGGUUAACAUUACACAUUGUUGGUGCAG
This is a long non-coding RNA of Aphis gossypii (cotton aphid), 883 nucleotides long. RefSeq lists it as uncharacterized. NCBI's taxonomy places the organism in Eukaryota, Metazoa, Arthropoda, Insecta, Hemiptera, Aphididae. The transcript has 3 exons. The record is from RefSeq and is a predicted model, not a curated record.